Molecule: ribosomal RNA, 429 nt
Filed under: Pseudomonadota bacterium
Lineage: Bacteria; Pseudomonadati; Pseudomonadota
Description: Proteobacteria bacterium partial 16S ribosomal RNA
Rfam family: Bacterial small subunit ribosomal RNA
Source: RNAcentral
UGGGGAAUAUUGGACAAUGGGCGAAAGCCUGAUCCAGCCAUGCCGCGUGUGUGAAGAAGGUCUUCGGAUUGUAAAGCACUUUAAGUUGGGAGGAAGGGCAGUAAGCGAAUACCUUGCUGUUUUGACGUUACCGACAGAAUAAGCACCGGCUAACUCUGUGCCAGCAGCCGCGGUAAUACAGAGGGUGCAAGCGUUAAUCGGAAUUACUGGGCGUAAAGCGCGCGUAGGUGGUUCGUUAAGUUGAAUGUGAAAGCCCCGGGCUCAACCUGGGAACUGCAUCCAAAACUGGCGAGCUAGAGUAGGGCAGAGGGUGGUGGAAUUUCCUGUGUAGCGGUGAAAUGCGUAGAUAUAGGAAGGAACACCAGUGGCGAAGGCGACCACCUGGGCACAUACUGACACUGAGGUGCGAAAGCGUGGGGAGCAAACAGG